This 445-nucleotide ribosomal RNA is filed under the name uncultured bacterium. Its description in RNAcentral is "partial 16S ribosomal RNA". It matches the Rfam family "Bacterial small subunit ribosomal RNA", at positions 330 to 792 of the family's 1533-position model. The record is from RNAcentral.
CCCAGACUCCUACGGGAGGCAGCAGUGGGGAAUAUUGCACAAUGGGGGAAACCCUGAUGCAGCGACGCCGCGUGAGCGAUGAAGUAUUUCGGUAUGUAAAGCUCUAUCAGCAGGGAAGAAAAUGACGGUACCUGACUAAGAAGCCCCGGCUAACUACGUGCCAGCAGCCGCGGUAAUACGUAGGGGGCAAGCGUUAUCCGGAUUUACUGGGCGUAAAGGGAGCGUAGACGGCGGUGCAAGCCAGAUGUGAAAGCCCGGGGCUCAACCCCGGAACUGCUUUGGAAACUGAGCAGCUAGAGUGCAGGAGAGGUAAGUGGAAUUCCUAGUGUAGCGGUGAAAUGCGUAGAUAUUAGGAGGAACACCAGUGGCGAAGGCGGCUUACUGGACUGUAACUGACGUUGAGGCUCGAAAGCGUGGGGAGCAAACAGGAUUAGAUACCCCAGUA